RNAcentral lists this ribosomal RNA (253 nucleotides) under uncultured bacterium. RNAcentral's name for it is "partial 16S ribosomal RNA". It matches the Rfam family "Bacterial small subunit ribosomal RNA", at positions 524 to 776 of the family's 1533-position model. The record is from RNAcentral.
UACGGAGGGUGCAAGCGUUAUCCGGAUUUACUGGGUUUAAAGGGUGCGUAGGUGGGUUGGUAAGUCAGUGGUGAAAUCCCCGAGCUUAACUUGGGAACUGCCAUUGAUACUAUCAGUCUUGAAUAUUGUGGAGGUUGGCGGAAUAUGUCAUGUAGCGGUGAAAUGCUUAGAUAUGACAUAGAACACCAAUUGCGAAGGCAGCUGGCUACGCAUAUAUUGACACUGAGGCACGAAAGCGUGGGGAUCAAACAGG